Molecule: ribosomal RNA, 492 nt
Filed under: uncultured bacterium
Lineage: Bacteria
Description: partial 16S ribosomal RNA
Rfam family: Bacterial small subunit ribosomal RNA
Source: RNAcentral
AGUGAACGCUGGCGGUAGGCCUAACACAUGCAAGUCGAACGGCAGCACAGUAAGAGCUUGCUCUUACGGGUGGCGAGUGGCGGACGGGUGAGGAAUACAUCGGAAUCUACUUUUUCGUGGGGGAUAACGUAGGGAAACUUACGCUAAUACCGCAUACGACCUACGGGUGAAAGCAGGGGAUCUUCGGACCUUGCGCGAUUGAAUGAGCCGAUGUCGGAUUAGCUAGUUGGCGGGGUAAAGGCCCACCAAGGCGACGAUCCGUAGCUGGUCUGAGAGGAUGAUCAGCCACACUGGAACUGAGACACGGUCCAGACUCCUACGGGGGGCAGCAGUGGGGAAUAUUGGACAAUGGGGGCAAGCCUGAUCCAGCCGUACCGCGGGGGUGAAGAAGGCCUGCGGGUUGUAAAGCCCUUUUGUUGGGAAAGAAAAGCAGCAGGUUAAUACCCCGUUGUUCUGACGGUACCCAAAGAAUAAGCACCGGCUAACUUCGUG